GCAGUUUGCAAGCAGUUCACAGGCCAGUUUGCUGCCCCCCACCUCAUUGAACAGGAGCCUUUAAAGACCAGGCACCCAAGGAAGAAGCAGCCCAGGGAAUGCCCUCCACAGCAGAGUGGCAGAUGGUCACAUCCAGGACUGGAGCUGCUUGCAGCGAACAGGUACCAGUUCCUCCUGUCCAACUGGAGAACAGGUCAAGAGAUCCAAGCAGACCCAGAGGAGGAGGCGACGAGUGCUCGUCAUAGCCGACUCCAUCCUGAGAGGUACGGAGGGGCCAAUCUGUUGCCAGGACCCCUCAACACGAGAGGUAUACUGCCUGCCCGGAGCAAAGAUUCGGGAUGUGAAGGAGGUAAUCCAGGCCAGGAUCAAGCCCACCGACAACUACCCCAUGGUCCUAGUCCAUGUGGGUACUAAUGAUGCAGCCAGGAGAACCCCCGAUCACCUGAUGGCGGACUACACUGCUCUGGGCAGCGUGCUGAGGGAGUUUGGUGCACAGGUGGUAUUAUCCUCCAUCCUACCAGUGAACGGACGCGGAAGACGGCAUGAGAACUGCAUCCGAGAGACCAACUGGUGGCUUCGGCAGUGGUGUCUCGAGGCAGACUUCGGCUUCCUGGACAACGACCAGCACAUCACGAUGAGGGACAUGCUCAGUUGGGAUGGGCUUCACCUGUCCCCCAAAGGUAAGUGUGUGUUUUCUUCUAGGUUGGCGGAUCUCCUCCGGCGGGCUUUAAACUAGGCUUGCCGGGGGCAGGCGAAGAUGAGGGCGGGGGAAGCUGUGGACCACCAAACCAUGUGGCACCCACAAGGACAGCCCAGCCUGAAGAAAGAGAACAUUGGGAACCUGCAAGAUGUGGCGCAGCCAACACUACGGCACAGGAGAAACAUUUCAUCAUCAAUCCUCCUACGCAAAAUGAGACGUUAGCAAGAAAGAAGCAAAAUUCAACAUCCUGCUUGCCAUCGGACACCUCUGAGCAGGACUUAGUAAUUCCACUGGUGCACCGGAAGCGCAGAACAUCUCCAAAAGUCAAAAUAUCAUACAAUGAGAUCCCACAGCUAUGAAGAAAGAGUCAUGUUUAGCAGGCUUAACUGCUUUGAAAAGUUUGAUGCAAUCUUAAAAAGGCUUUCACCCAGCAAGGACACUCGUCCAGAGAGAUAGAUCGCACGUUUGAAAGAGCCACCCGGAUACCACAUGAAGAACUGCUGCAGUACAGAAGAACCCCCCCCACAAAUCACACACCGCUGGUUAUGACAUAUCACCCCUCCCUUGAACCUGUACAGAAAAUCCUCAAAAAAUUGCAACCCAUACUAGAAAGAGACCCUAUUCUUAAAAAGAUCUUCCCAGAGCCACCCAUCCUAGCCUUCAAACAAGCACCGAACCUCGCCAACCUCAUCACCAGAAGCAAACUUCCUCAUGCCCAGAACACACCAAAAGGAUCCAGACCGUGCCAUGACAAGAAAUGCAAAACCUGCCAACACAACUCCACCACCCCCACUAUUACUACACCCCACAACAGAGCCAUCCCAGGAUCUUACAGCUGCACCUCCAGAAAUGUAAUAUACCUCAUCCAAUGCACCAAAUGCCUGAUGGAAAAUACGUAGGAGAGACCAGACAACAACUGCGCACCAGAAUAAAUGCACACCAGAAAUCUAUCAAAGACAGAAAUACCUAAUUACCGGUGGGGGCACAUUUCUCACAGGAGGGCCACUCUCUCUCCAAUCUCUCAGUCUUGAUCCCCAAGGGAAACUUACACAACACUUCCCAAAGACAAGCCUAUGAGCUCCAUUUCAUCAACCUCCUGGAUACUAGAGAUCAUGGACUAAACAUAGACACUGGAUUUUUGAUACGUUACAAUCUGCCUGGCAACUGACUCCCCAGCCCAGCCCCUGGCUUCUUCACUUUUCAUUCCAUCCAGGAAGAGCACACACCAACUGCUGAAACUUCCUUAGCCUGACGAAGGGUUUUUGAACUCGAAAACUUGCUUAAUAACUAUUCUCCAACUAUUUGGGUUGGUCUAAUAAAAGAUAUCAAAUUCACCCAAGGAACCUUGUCUGCCUAUGUCCUUAGACCAACACGGCUACAACCUACGCCCAUGCAAUCUGUAAGGAAUUUUUGCAAUGUUUUGUUUGCUAGAUUGUCACUCAUUCCACACUUCCCUUUUCUUCUCUCCCUUUUCCUUCCCCUACUUUUUUAAAAACUUUUUUUUUGUAGGCAGAUACUUACACAGUCUAUGAUUGGGUUACAUGUUAGCAAUACUAAUAUUCUUCAGAAAUCUAUAAUGCAGUAAUAUUCUCAAAAUUACCUUGUCACCUUUUGUCCAUGUUAUUAUUAAUUUUAGCUGAUAUUGAUUUUUGUGGAAAUGUUGAUGAUUUACUGACAUUAGUAAAUCAUCUCUUUGGUCUCCCUAAAAUCAAUGGGAAUCGUUCCACUGAAUUUAGUGGGAUUUGGAUCAAGACCUGA
Molecule: long non-coding RNA, 2458 nt
Organism: Alligator mississippiensis (American alligator)
Lineage: Eukaryota; Metazoa; Chordata; Crocodylia; Alligatoridae
Exons: 5
Source: RefSeq, a predicted model, not a curated record